GCUCAACCGACUGAGCCACCCAGGCGCCCCCUUUGAUUUUCUUAAUUGGGGGCAAGUGGGGGGAAAAAACCCGAGGGGGCAUACUACAAAACAACUGGCCUGUACUCUUCAAAAAUGUCAAGGUCUUGAAAACCAAAGCAAGGUCGAAGACAACUGCAGACUGAAGAAAGCUGAAGGGACCAGGCGACCACAGGUUUCAUGAUUGUCAACAACAAACCAAAAAAACCCGCCUGUAACCAGGCGCUCCUCCUUCAGACCACUGUGCAGCCUGGUCCAGCGUUGUAUUUGCUGCCCCGUGCGUGACCCAGCAGUACUAAGUCCGUUUAUAGUAAGAAGGACAACCCGGCUUUUCUAUUCAUACAGCGGAAUGCGGCACAGCAGCGAACGGAUGGAAACACACUAUGGCUCCAGCAACCACGCGGACACAGACGAACCCAGCAGCCGGGUCCACUUAAAGAAUAAACACACAACAACACAAACCCA
Long non-coding RNA from Lynx canadensis (Canada lynx), 483 nucleotides. RefSeq lists it as uncharacterized. The transcript is spliced from 2 exons. The record is from RefSeq and is a predicted model, not a curated record. Lineage: Eukaryota; Metazoa; Chordata; Mammalia; Carnivora; Felidae.